This is a long non-coding RNA of Girardinichthys multiradiatus, 639 nucleotides long. RefSeq lists it as uncharacterized. The record is from RefSeq and is a predicted model, not a curated record. NCBI's taxonomy places the organism in Eukaryota, Metazoa, Chordata, Actinopteri, Cyprinodontiformes, Goodeidae. The transcript has 3 exons.
CCUCCACGAGUGAAGUCAUUUCCCCUAACCUUUCCUGUUUCGUUUGGUGCAGAGGGUGCUGUCCUUUGGUCCUGUCCUGGCAAACUCUCCAUACUGUUGAGAUGGUGGACAAUUGCAUCUCAACCAUGUCAUCUGAAAAUAUUUCAGCUUCUCCACCAGAGGGCGUCCUGCGGUCGUCCGCUGGGCUGGGCAUUCCUCCUCCUGUUGCACCUCCUUGCAGGUGCAGCACAUCAGGUGCAAUCAGCCUGGCAGGAUAAAGAGGCUGGAAGCCAGUCACUCUUCGCCUGAGUGUUUACCAUCACUGGGUUACCUAGCAUCAACCUGGACUCCUAUAAUCAUUUAUGGACUUACCCCUGCAGUUCCAAGCAUCCUGUGGACCUCUGGAUUCCCAUUUCCACAACUGGCUUCCUCCCUACAAGCCCAGCACCGCUACCAUCUAAGUCCUUGGGAUUGCACCUCCGCUGCACGCAAACAAACCUCAAUUCAUUCUCCGGACAUCUUCCAUCGCCAUCAUUCUCAAGGACCUCUCAUUCCCCACCCCUGGCGGAUCAUUCUCCAACACCCAAUAAGCCUCUCAUUACUUCAUCCACAUCCACAAACUUCUUCUACUCACCUCCAUUCCUGUUCCAGAGUUCCCAG